Molecule: RNA transcript, 1876 nt
Organism: Silurus meridionalis
Lineage: Eukaryota; Metazoa; Chordata; Actinopteri; Siluriformes; Siluridae
Gene name: leucine-rich repeat neuronal protein 4
Exons: 3
Source: RefSeq, a predicted model, not a curated record
AGGCGAUUGUUGGGGAGACGUUUAUAAAGACUGGAAUGAGAGAGAGAGAGAGAGAGAGAGAGAGAGAGAGAGAGAGAGAGAGAGAUAAUCACCUCACGCAAAGAAACAAGCAUUAUAGAAGAUUUCCUGGACUUCAUACAACACACAGACACCAUGUUGAGAAAGUGUUCUACUCCACCACUCGUCCUCUCGGUCACGCUACUCUUCUCCUUCGUGUCAGCAUCAUCAUCAGUACGCAACACCACCCAGAGAACAGGCUCUCCCAAACCUCGUUUAGUCGGCCAAGGUGAUGACUACAAUAAUUUCUAUGAUGAUCCUUUUACCACGAAAAAGCCCCAAAAGUCCGCAGGGUCUCCACCUCCGCUCUGCGAUAUCUGCAAGGAACAGCCGGAAUCGUGUCAGAAGCUCGCCCAAACAUUGUUCUGCUCCUGCCCUGGGAUCAGCGGCCCCUUCCAACGCCCGGACCCUCCUACUGUCCACAGUUUGUCUGUUGAAAGUAAUGGAGUGGUGGUGUUCCGGUGGUGCGCACCCGCCUCUACGGUCUUGUACUACCAGGUGUAUGUGGGGGGUAAAAAAACUGGACACGAGUUGGCGGAGAACCGGAGGAUGAUGAAGCUGGGGGAUGUAGCUCCAGGCACUGAGGUGUGUGUGGAGGCGGUGAACAAGGUGGGUUCCAGUGUCCCCGGGAAACACUCGUGCACAGUGUUUGAACCCAGCAACUCUGAGACCAGACUCAUCACCAAGCUGGCACUGAUCGGAGCGGCGGUGGUGCUGGUGCUGGUGAUCGCAUUGGUGCUGUUGCUCUGGUGGUGCAAAAGACACCGUAAUGCUCGAGCACAGACAGCAAACCGAGGAACCGCGAUGGUGCUCUGAGGAGAAAUAACCCAGAAGGAGGCUUAUAACUGCAGCUUGAAGGAAACUGUAGAGUUUUUUUAAUAAUGACAAAUACUGAGGAAAAAAGUUCUGACUCACUAAUAAAGUGGUGUGAGGCAGCAGGUUGAGGAAAUGUGGACUUCCCAUGGAAAAAGGUAAGACGUGUGGCAACACUCUCCGAGCAAAACCAAGUGUGUGUGUGUGUGUGAGAGUAUGAGUGUGUGUGAGUAAUGUACUGAGAAUGGACUUAAGCAACUGUUUUAAUGCACUUUAACCACAUUCUGAGGAACUCAUCAAUGCCAUUAACCACAAAGCACCACAUUUCCGUCAUCAGCACAUUUUACACAAGCUCACAGACCAGUUUAAAAAAAAAAGAUUCAACUCUGCUCGCACCAUCAAAAUGCCAAAGUUGUCUCAGUGAACAUGUCAUUUUCUUUUAUUUUGCAUUUAUUUCUUAAUAUUCUCAUGCUUUUCCAUCAUAUGAAUCUCUAUGGUCGCAUCUGUCCAGUUAUCUAAAUUGGGUCUCUCUUGUUUUUAACUAUUUAUAUGUAAUUGCUUUCUGACUGGCUGCCAAAAGCACAACCUAUCAGAUAUUUACUAUCUACUGAUACCAGACCUGGACACAGCCAAAAUACAGCAAUUUGCUUUCUAGAGGUACAUCUCAUCUAAAAAAUAUUUUUCCAGAACCUCCAGUAUUUAUAUCCAGUAUUCUCAAAUAUAUAAACAUUCCCAGAAUAUAUGGUAAUGGUUUGCUUAAUUAGAUUCACAGUUUUGCCAACCGUGAUUUUUUUGAAUCCCUGGAGAUGUUCGUGGCUAGUGAUAUGACAACCCGACAAAUAAAUCAACAUUAACCAGUCAGAGAACCAUUUUGCGAUGCUUUAGUGAUUUAAUGAGGAGUACAUUUUUACAAAGAAACAUGUAAAUGAUACAUUUAUUUGGUGAGGUUAUAUAAUAUAUUCAAUUUACAGUGAUCGAUUUCUUGUACAUCACCAAACAUGCGACU